GGACCUGUAGUCUAAUGGAAGACGUUCAGUUGACCUAUUCGUACUCCAAUAUGGGAGCUGAAAGCUGCUGGUUCGAAUCCCGCCAGGUCCA
Stygiomarasmius scandens is the source of this 91-nucleotide non-coding RNA. Lineage: Eukaryota; Fungi; Basidiomycota; Agaricomycetes; Agaricales; Campanellaceae. The record is from the annotation of a GenBank genome assembly.